UGCAGUCGAACGGUAACAGGCCUAUGUGAUCCCUUCGGGGUGAACUUGGUGCUGACGAGUGGCGGACGGGUGAGUAAUGCAUAGGAAUCUGCCCUUUAGCGGGGGAUAACUCGGGGAAACUCGGGCUAAUACCGCAUACGCCCUACGGGGGAAAGCGGGGGCCUUCGGGCCUCGCACUAUUGGAUGAGCCUAUGUCUGAUUAGUUUGUUGGUGGGGUAAUGGCCUACCAAGGCGACGAUCAGUAGCUGGUCUGAGAGGACGAUCAGCCACACUGGGAUUGAGAUACGGCCCAGACUCCUACGGGAGGCAGCAGUGGGGAAUAUUGGACAAUGGGCGAAAGCCUGAUCCAGCAAUGCCGCGUGUGUGAAGAAGGCCCGAGGGUUGUAAAGCACUUUCAACAGUAAAGAAAAGUUCGGUGCUAAUACCACCGAACCCUGACGUUAGCUGUAGAAGAAGCACUGGCUAACUCCGUGCCAGCAGCCGCGGUAAUACGGAGGGUGCGAGCGUUAAUCGGAAUUACUGGGCGUAAAGCGUGCGUAGGUGGCUUGGUAAGUCGGAUGUGAAAGCCCCGAGCUCAACUUGGGAAUUGCAUUCGAUACUGCUAGGCUAGAGUAUGGUAGAGGGAAGUGGAAUUUCCGGUGUAGCGGUGAAAUGCGUAGAGAUCGGAAGGAACACUAGUGGCGAAGGCGGCUUCCUGGACCAAUACUGACACUGAGGUACGAAAGCGUGGGGAGCAAACAGGAUUAGAUACCCUGGUAGUCCACGCCCUAAACGAUGUCAACUAG
RNAcentral lists this ribosomal RNA (785 nucleotides) under uncultured bacterium. RNAcentral describes it as "partial 16S ribosomal RNA". It matches the Rfam family "Bacterial small subunit ribosomal RNA", at positions 56 to 819 of the family's 1533-position model. The record is from RNAcentral.